This 805-nucleotide ribosomal RNA is filed under the name Tsukamurella spumae. RNAcentral's name for it is "bacterial SSU rRNA". It matches the Rfam family "Bacterial small subunit ribosomal RNA", at positions 75 to 893 of the family's 1533-position model. Lineage: Bacteria; Bacillati; Actinomycetota; Actinomycetes; Mycobacteriales; Tsukamurellaceae. The record is from RNAcentral.
GCCCUUCGGGGUACACGAGUGGCGAACGGGUGAGUAACACGUGGGUGACCUGCCCUGUACUUCGGGAUAAGCCUGGGAAACUGGGUCUAAUACCGGAUAUGACCUUCUCCUGCAUGGGGGUUGGUGGAAAGCUUUUGCGGUACAGGAUGGGCCCGCGGCCUAUCAGCUUGUUGGUGGGGUAAUGGCCUACCAAGGCGACGACGGGUAGCCGGCCUGAGAGGGCGACCGGCCACACUGGGACUGAGACACGGCCCAGACUCCUACGGGAGGCAGCAGUGGGGAAUAUUGCACAAUGGGCGGAAGCCUGAUGCAGCGACGCCGCGUGAGGGAUGACGGCCUUCGGGUUGUAAACCUCUUUCAGUAGGGACGAAGCGCAAGUGACGGUACCUACAGAAGAAGCACCGGCCAACUACGUGCCAGCAGCCGCGGUAAUACGUAGGGUGCGAGCGUUGUCCGGAUUUACUGGGCKUAAAGAGCUCGYASGCGGUUUGUCACGUCGUCUGUGAAAACCCGAGGCUUAACCUCGGGCCUGCAGGCGAUACGGGCAGACUUGAGUACUGUAGGGGAGACUGGAAUUCCUGGUGUAGCGGUGGAAUGCGCAGAUAUCAGGAGGAACACCGGUGGCGAAGGCGGGUCUCUGGGCAGUAACUGACGCUGAGGAGCGAAAGCGUGGGUAGCGAACAGGAUUAGAUACCCUGGUAGUCCACGCCGUAAACGGUGGGUACUAGGUGUGGGUUUCCUUCCACGGGAUCCGUGCCGUAGCUAACGCAUUAAGUACCCCCGCCUGGGGGAGUACGGCGCAGGC